RNAcentral lists this long non-coding RNA (1256 nucleotides) under Sus scrofa (pig). RNAcentral describes it as "lncRNA (ENSSSCG00040010241.1)". Lineage: Eukaryota; Metazoa; Chordata; Mammalia; Artiodactyla; Suidae. The record is from RNAcentral.
GGUUAAUGAACCAGCUUUGAGCCCAACUGGGCGAAGGGAGAAGGGUCUCUGUGCUCAUAAUAAGGACAAGAAUGUCUCUUUGCCCAUCACAGCUUGUGUGUGAACAGUUUUUCCCUCCAGGUUCCUCUCACAGAGCAAGUUCACGUCUUGUAAGGGGUCUAAGGUUUGAAGCAUCCACCAGGUUUUCAACAUAUACUCUAGAGAGGCGUUACCUAAGCUAAAAAAAAAAAAUCUUUUUAAUAACUUUGUUUUUAAUCUCUUCCUUCCAUUCACAAAGAAAAGGCUCACAGUAUUAGCAGGUUAAUGACAGCUGCUUUGCUGGUUCAGAAGAACAGGCCAGGGACCCCAUUUAAAGUUCAAUCACCUGCUUCAUAAUCGGGGCCUCUCUCUACUGUCACCUCCCUCACCUUCUUCUCUUCAGGAAACUCCUUGAAGGGGAUGAGGCUCUGCAAAGACUGGAGACUAGAAUGAGAUUCUUUGCAGAAAAAGGAGUCCCUCCUCCUGAGCCUCUGCCAGACGCCUGCAGCUGCUUCAGGCUGAGCUGUGGUCAGAGCCCUCAGACACGCGGCAGGCCUUAAGGAGGUUCUGCCCAUUAGCACCAAACCAUUGCUGGUUGUCGUAAAAAGAAAAAAAAUAAUAAUAAGGUUAAGAUCUCCGACAGCAAUAAGGGCCCACAUUUAAAUCUGUAGUAACAGUUUAAAAGAACAUACUGGGCAUUACUAGUAUUUACUUAGCAGUAUUAGAUGAAAGAACAUAGUUUAAUAAAUAUUUCUCUGUUAGUGCCAAAUGUUUCAAAAUCAGUAAAAUUUCAACAAAAAGUUGAAGGAAAAGAAGGAUUGAUUAAAACACUGACUGAAGUUGCAUUUUUCUUUAAAGCAGCAACUCGUGAACAAUGUCUGUUUUAAAAUGUCAAUGCCUUUUAGGCACAGUGUUCGCUUUGGUUUUUACGUUCAUCCCUUGCCAAUAAGAAACCUCUGUUAUCUUCCAAAGUAAUCAAAAUGCUCAGACAUACACUGCAAGGGCAGGUAAGGGUCAAACUAAUGAUCAUUUCCGACAGAUAAUAUUUAAUUACUCACCUCUAAGCAAUGAAGUUAAUAAAUUAAUUUUAUAAACAUCUGCAGGCAAAACACUCAUUGUAGACAUUUAUAUUACGACACACAACCUUCACGUAAAUACUCACAAAAUUUAUCCGCCCACAUUUUUUUUUUUUCCUGAAGGUACACAAUUAAACUGCAUUUACUAAGUGUUAGCUGGCA